This 490-nucleotide ribosomal RNA is filed under the name uncultured bacterium. Its description in RNAcentral is "partial 16S ribosomal RNA". It matches the Rfam family "Bacterial small subunit ribosomal RNA", at positions 30 to 507 of the family's 1533-position model. The record is from RNAcentral.
AUUGAACGCUGGCGGCAGGCUUAACACAUGCAAGUCGAGCGGUAGCACAGGGGAGCUUGCUCCCUGGGUGACGAGCGGCGGACGGGUGAGGAAUGUCUGGGAAACUGCCUGAUGGAGGGGGAUAACUACUGGAAACGGUAGCUAAUACCGCAUAACGUCGCAAGACCAAAGAGGGGGACCUUCGGGCCUCUUGCCAUCAGAUGUGCCCAGAUGGGAUUAGCUAGUAGGUGGGGUAAUGGCUCACCUAGGCGACGAUCCCUAGCUGGUCUGAGAGGAUGACCAGCCACACUGGAACUGAGACACGGUCCAGACUCCUACGGGAGGCAGCAGUGGGGAAUAUUGCACAAUGGGCGCAAGCCUGAUGCAGCCAUGCCGCGUGCGUGAAGAAGGCCUUCGGGUUGUAAAGCACUUUCAGCGAGGAGGAAGGUGGUGAGCUUAAUACGUUCAUCAAUUGACGUUACUCGCAGAAGAAGCACCGGCUAACUCCGUG